AGCUUUGCGCAGUGGCAGUAUCGUAGCCAAUGAGGUUUAUCCGAGGCGCGAUUAUUGCUAAUUGAGAAUACCCGGUAGCAGUUUUGUUUUUCCUAGUGUCUCCCCUACUCUUACAGUUUUCUGAUUCCUCAUUCUAUUUAAAAAGAGG
This is a small nuclear RNA of Lutra lutra (Eurasian river otter), 148 nucleotides long. RefSeq annotates it as U4 spliceosomal RNA. The record is from RefSeq and is a predicted model, not a curated record. The transcript has a single exon. Lineage: Eukaryota; Metazoa; Chordata; Mammalia; Carnivora; Mustelidae.